AUGGCCAACGCUCCCAGUUUUUCUUCCCGCCCCCACGGUCCGCAAAAAGGAGAUUGGGAGAAUUGUUCUGUAUCCCACACUCAACUGACCAAGCUCCAGAUGCAGGGAUAUCUCCCCCCUACGGAUCUAGUCCCCGUUCGGGCAGGAUUAACCUCCUUUACUGGCGAAGCCCUGGCGGAAAAUUUCCCAAACCCUUCAGAAGGGGAGCGAGUGUGCUUCGUUUCCUUUUUAUUAAGAGGCGUUGGAUUUCCAAUCCAUCCUUUCCUCCGAGGUCUCCUGGAGUACUAUGGCCUCCAACUGCACAAUCUUACGCCAGGCUCCAUUCUGCACAUCGCGAGCUUCGUCGCUCUUUGCGAUCUAUUCCUAGGCUGCGAGGCCCAUUUUGAAUUAUGGAGGAAACUUUUCUGCCUCGUCCCUCGCUCCCAAAAGGGAUCCAUAUUCGAGGUGGGUGGCGCCUAA
RNAcentral lists this ribosomal RNA (459 nucleotides) under Triticum aestivum (bread wheat). Its description in RNAcentral is "partial small subunit ribosomal RNA". Lineage: Eukaryota; Viridiplantae; Streptophyta; Magnoliopsida; Poales; Poaceae. The record is from RNAcentral.